CGAGUGAAGCGGCAACAGCUCAAAUUUGAAAUCUCAGGUAUUCUACUUGCGAGUUGUAAUUUGAAGAGGAUGUUUCGGUUGUGACCUAGGCCUAAGUUCCUUGGAACAGGACGUCGUAGAGGGUGAGAAUCCCGUACACGGCUGUAGGUUUACUUCCAUGUGUAACUCCUUCGAAGAGUCGAGUUGUUUGGGAAUGCAGCUCAAAAUGGGUGGUAAAUUUCAUCUAAAGCUAAAUACUGGCGAGAGACCGAUAGCGCACAAGUAGAGUGAUCGAAAGAUGAAAAGCACUUUGAAAAGAGAGUUAAACAGUACGUGAAAUUGUUGAAAGGGAAGCGUUUGCAAUCAGACUUGCUUUCAGUUGAUCAACGUUCCUUUUGGUUCGUGCACUCUGCCGUUUGCAGGCCAGCAUCGGUUGGAACAGUGGGACAAAGACUCAAGGAAUGUGGCUCUCUUCGGGGAGUGUUAUAGCCUUGUGUGUAAUGCCACUUGUACCGACCGAGGUCCGCGCUUUUGCUAGGAUGCUGGCUUAAUGGUUGU
RNAcentral lists this ribosomal RNA (537 nucleotides) under uncultured Orbiliaceae. RNAcentral describes it as "LSU rRNA". It matches the Rfam family "Eukaryotic large subunit ribosomal RNA", at positions 90 to 641 of the family's 3401-position model. Lineage: Eukaryota; Fungi; Ascomycota; Orbiliomycetes; Orbiliales. The record is from RNAcentral.